This 736-nucleotide ribosomal RNA is filed under the name uncultured bacterium. RNAcentral describes it as "bacterial SSU rRNA". It matches the Rfam family "Bacterial small subunit ribosomal RNA", at positions 140 to 851 of the family's 1533-position model. The record is from RNAcentral.
GGGACAACAGACGGAAACGACUGCUAAUACCGAAUAAGUUCCAAGAGCCACAUGGCCCAUGGAAGAAAAGGUGGCCUCUACCUGUAAGCUAUCGCCUGAAGAGGGGUUUGCGUCUGAUUAGCUGGUUGGAGGGGUAACGGCCCACCAAGGCGACGAUCAGUAGCCGGUCUGAGAGGAUGAACGGCCACACUGGAACUGAGACACGGUCCAGACUCCUACGGGAGGCAGCAGUGGGGAAUCUUCCGCAAUGGGCGAAAGCCUGACGGAGCAACGCCGCGUGAGUGAUGACGGCCUUCGGGUUGUAAAACUCUGUGAUCCGGGACGAAAAGGCAGAGUGCGAAGAACAAACUGCAUUGACGGUACCGGAAAAGCAAGCCACGGCUAACUACGUGCCAGCAGCCGCGGUAAUACGUAGGUGGCAAGCGUUGUCCGGAAUUAUUGGGCGUAAAGCGCGCGCAGGCGGCUUCCCAAGUCCCUCUUAAAAGUGCGGGGCUUAACCCCGUGAUGGGAAGGAAACUGGGAAGCUGGAGUAUCGGAGAGGAAAGUGGAAUUCCUAGUGUAGCGGUGAAAUGCGUAGAGAUUAGGAAGAACACCGGUGGCGAAGGCGACUUUCUGGACGAAAACUGACGCUGAGGCGCGAAAGCGUGGGGAGCAAACAGGAUUAGAUACCCUGGUAGUCCACGCCGUAAACGAUGGAUACUGGGUGUAGGAGGUAUCGACCCCUCCUGUGCCGGAG